GGGCAAAUGCUUGAAUAUCAGCCCUGCGCACAACCAAAGCCUUUGCUCUCUUGUCAGCAAUCCAUUCACAGAUGACAUCUUCCAGCUCAAGAUAUAAUGGCUGGCGACCUGAUCCACACUUGCGCUUCUUAGCAUUUCCCUCGUCCACCUUUUGACUGAGGUUACCAUACUCUGCUCGACAUUUUCGGACCAUUCGGAGAUCUAACUUCAUUUCUUUGCAGAAAGUGGUCAGAUUCUUGCCGUGGGAGUCCUCCACGAUUCCUUUCUUGUACUCGACAGAAUAGCUCUUUCUCUU
This is a non-coding RNA of Pelobates cultripes (western spadefoot toad), 295 nucleotides long. The record is from the annotation of a GenBank genome assembly. NCBI's taxonomy places the organism in Eukaryota, Metazoa, Chordata, Amphibia, Anura, Pelobatidae.